GUGGGGAAUAUUGCACAAUGGGGGAAACCCUGAUGCAGCAACGCCGCGUGAAGGAUGAAGGCCCUUGGGUUGUAAACUUCUGUUCUAAGGGAAGAUAGUGACGGUACCUUAGGAGGAAGCCCCGGCUAACUACGUGCCAGCAGCCGCGGUAAUACGUAGGGGGCAAGCGUUAUCCGGAAUUAUUGGGCGUAAAGAGUACGUAGGUGGUUACCUAAGCGCGAGGUAUAAGGCAAUGGCUUAACCAUUGUUCGCCUUGCGAACUGGGCUACUUGAGUGCAGGAGAGGAAAGCGGAAUUCCUAGUGUAGCGGUGAAAUGCGUAGAUAUUAGGAGGAACACCAGUGGCGAAGGCGGCUUUCUGGACUGUAACUGACAUUGAGGUACGAAAGCGUGGGGAGCAAACAGGA
RNAcentral lists this ribosomal RNA (405 nucleotides) under uncultured bacterium. RNAcentral describes it as "bacterial SSU rRNA". It matches the Rfam family "Bacterial small subunit ribosomal RNA", at positions 354 to 777 of the family's 1533-position model. The record is from RNAcentral.